Molecule: long non-coding RNA, 284 nt
Organism: Athene cunicularia (burrowing owl)
Lineage: Eukaryota; Metazoa; Chordata; Aves; Strigiformes; Strigidae
Exons: 3
Source: RefSeq, a predicted model, not a curated record
CCCGCGGGCGUGGCGCAGGUGGGAGGACGGCAGGUCCCGCCGCGCUCCCGUUACUCAGCCGCGCGGGGGGAGAAGGAGCAAACCCAGAGCUCCUGGAUUUCCUGUUGCUGCUGCCCGAGAUGGGGCAAAGAAAUGAACCGGGUUGUCCCCCGCUGCCUCCCAGUAUCGGUUGUCCCUGCAAAGACAAAGCUAUAUGAGCUUCAUCAGGAAAUGUGACGAGUCCCCUCCGAGCAACUAGCCAAAAUCUGUUCCACUGCACAUCACCUGAGCACUAUCUGGUUGAG